UGCCUCCCCGCUCUGCCUGCCUGGAGAGCCGGGACGGCCGGGACUACCUCCCCUCGGUUUGCGAGUAGCAUCGCCCAUGGUCCUAGAGGUGGACAUUUUCGUAUGGCUUUUACUCUGUUUGUACUUGAUUUUGCUGUACUUUGCGUUUUUCCGUUGUAUCAUUUGUACUACGUUGAUUGUCGUAAACGACCAAUUUGAAAUGUAUCGCGUGAUUAUUUGCUAGUUUGAAUAUUCGAUGGCUCAUUGUUCGUUGGCGUAUUGUUAGAAGGCAAUUUCUGCAAUACUUCUCAGUACUCGUUUGUUGUGUGACGUGCCACCCGGCUCUAUGCCCGGCCAUGAUUCCGGAUCAUUCGCGCUGAUGGCGGCAGAGGCGGUCGUGUCGUGUCUGUGUUUGCGCGAGCGAUGAUAUGGCGUCGGAGAUGUGAGGCUGGCUUGGAAGGAUGCCUCUGGAUGUAUGGACGUUAGCCGCGAAGCGACCCAGAAGGCACAUUUGUCGCAACGACUGUUACUCUCGAGAUCGUGUGGGCUAUCUACUCAGCUCACUCGGUCCAAUAAACGGUCCGUUAAGACAUACUGGAUUUCAACACGCUGGGUCUGGAGAUGCGGCUACAGUUGCGACAAGUGUCGACAACGGCGACGAGCUGCCCACGGCAGAGUAGCGACUUCUGCAGCUACGCGUGAAGGCAGCUCGACCACCCACCGGGAGGACCUCGCAGCACGCUCACACCGGCUGGUGGCUCUGCUGGCCUCGUGAGGCGGCUGGUUUGCUGCUGCUGGCUGGUGCUGGUGAGGACUGAGUCGCCCCUGCUCAUCAAUAUGGCGUCGGAGAUGUGAGGCUGGCUUGGAAGGAUGCCUCUGGAUGUAUGGACGUUAGCCGCGAAGCGACCCAGAAGGCACAUUUGUCGCAACGACUGUUACUCUCGAGAUCGUGUGGGCUAUCUACUCAGCUCACUCGGUCCAAUAAACGGUCCGUUAAGACAUACUGGAUUUCAACACGCUGGGUCUGGAGAUG
RNAcentral lists this unclassified non-coding RNA (1012 nucleotides) under Amphibalanus amphitrite. RNAcentral describes it as "uncharacterized LOC122375558, transcript variant X2". The record is from RNAcentral. Lineage: Eukaryota; Metazoa; Arthropoda; Thecostraca; Balanomorpha; Balanidae.